Molecule: non-coding RNA, 115 nt
Organism: Triticum aestivum (bread wheat)
Lineage: Eukaryota; Viridiplantae; Streptophyta; Magnoliopsida; Poales; Poaceae
Source: Rfam
UUUCUACUCCCUCUGUUCGGAAAUACUUGUCGGAGAAAUCGAUGUAUCUAGAACUAAAAUACGUCUAGAUACAUCCAUCUCUUCGAUGAGUAUUUCCGAACGGAGGGAGUAUAAU